GAUGAAGAACGCAGCGAAAUGCGAUAAGUAGUGUGAAUUGCAGAAUUCAGUGAAUCAUCGAAUCUUUGAACGCACAUUGCGCCCUUUGGUAUUCCAAAGGGCAUGCCUGUUCGAGCGUCAUUUGGACCCUCAAGCUUUGCUUGGUGUUGGGCGUCUUGUCUCUAGCUUUGCUGGAGACUCGCCUUAAAGUAAUUGGCAGCCGGCCUACUGGUUUCGGAGCGCAGCACAAGUCGCACUCUCUAUCAGCAAAGGUCUAGCAUCCAUUAAGCCUUUUUUUCAACUUUUGACCUCGGAUCAGGUAGGGAUACCCGCUGAACUUAAGCAUAUCAAUAAGCGGAGGA
Molecule: unclassified non-coding RNA, 341 nt
Filed under: soil metagenome
Description: partial contains 5.8S ribosomal RNA, internal transcribed spacer 2, and large subunit ribosomal RNA
Rfam family: 5.8S ribosomal RNA (bases 1-120)
Source: RNAcentral